This 414-nucleotide ribosomal RNA is filed under the name uncultured Funneliformis. RNAcentral describes it as "partial 28S ribosomal RNA". Lineage: Eukaryota; Fungi; Glomeromycota; Glomeromycetes; Glomerales; Glomeraceae. The record is from RNAcentral.
GAGAGUUAAACAGUACGUGAAAUUGUUGAAAGGGAAACGAUUGAAGUCAGUCGUACCAACGGGAAAUCAAUUCAUCGAGUGUUGAAUUUGGGUCUUGAAGAGUCUUAAAACCUUUGGGUUCAGAUAUUUUCACUUUUUGAACGUAUUUUCUCGUACGGUAGGUUAACAUCGAUUUUGAACAUUAUAAAAUGAUCGGAGGAAUGUAGCUUCGAUCUUGUAUUGAAGUGUUAUAGCCUUUGGUAGAUGUAAUGAUCGAGAUCGAGGAUUGCAACGAAUACCCUUUUGGGCUAUCCGUCUGAUCUCUGAUACGUUGCCUCGGUAACGAAAGCGUGCUUACGGUAUUGAGGUAUUACGGUCAAAAGGUUAGAACGAGAUUACAUUCGUUAAGGAUGUUGACGUAAUGGCUUUAAACGA